AAUUGUACUAAAGUUGAUUGUAUUUGGAAGCAAAAGAACGAAAAAUGUAAUAUAUAAAUUGCAUGUAAUGUAAAUGCUUGUAAUAGCUUAGUUUUUAUGUUUUUGAUACCUUCCUUAUGCAAUUGAUAUAUGAAUUCUGUUCCUGUCAUAGUUAGUAAAUUCGCGUAUAAUACGCGAAUUAUUCGCGAAUUUUUGAUUAGCCGAAUUAAACGGCACGAAACGUAUUUUUCCCAAAAGUGCGAAAAAAACGCGCUUUUUUCUCUAAAAGUAAUUAUCCGCGAAUUAUUCGCGAUUCGCGAAUAAUUGACCGAAAAAAUCGGCCCGCGAGUCGGCGACGACGAGCGUUGUCGUCCUUCUCCGCCGUCGCCCUCGCCGGCGCCGGGAGCAAGAGGGCCGCGGCUACGGUUCCCAUCUCGCCCGACGCCGUCUGUUUUCGCCCAAAAAAACGGCUCGCGAGUCGGCGACGCUCGUCGUCCUCCUCCGCCGCCGCUCUGGCCGGCGCCGGGAGUAAGAGGGCCGCGGCUAGUGGUCUGGGUCGUGGAGAGGAGAGGGAGAAGUGUGGAGAAAGUGUGAGAAAGUGAGAAAGUGAUUGAAGUUGUUGCGUGCUCCGCAAGCAAAGAGAUGCGCGGUCCACGAGGCUGUUUAUAUAUAUAUAAUUUUAUUUAUUAAUAUUUUUAAAUGAUAUUAUUAAUAUAUAUUUAUUAUAAUUUUAAAUAUAUUUAAUUUAUAAAUAAAAAUUAUAAUAAUAAUAAUAAUAUAUAGUAUAUUAAUUAAUUAUGUAUUUAUUAUAUAGCCGAAUUUUUGAUUCCGAAUUUUUAUUUGAUAAACGUAUAAUAUCCGUAUAAAUCACGUAUCCGAAUAAUUACCGAAUCCGUUUUUUAGUCGUAUUUUUCAACAAAUUUAAAAAUUAGAAGACGAAUUUUAUCCGAAUUAUACCCGUAUCGAAUUUUUGCCGAAUCCGAAUUAACUAACUAUGGUUCCUGUUUGGUACCUCGUGAAUUGUACUGUUGCGACGCCUUGGACGUACAGGGGAGACUCUGUCCGUUAGGCAGUCUGUCGGUGCGCCAAAUCCGACCAAAGUGGCGGGUCCCGGGACGUGACAGGAGGGGUUCAGGCUGGGGCGUUCCCGUGAGGUUGACGCAUGUGAGGGGCGCGAUGGAGCGGGUUGGGUUGGGCUUUAGGGUUAGGGUUUAGGGUUAGGGUUGCCUAGGGUGUAAUAUAC
Molecule: long non-coding RNA, 1222 nt
Filed under: Ananas comosus (pineapple)
Lineage: Eukaryota; Viridiplantae; Streptophyta; Magnoliopsida; Poales; Bromeliaceae
Description: long non-coding RNA (ACOM_LNC010376)
Source: RNAcentral